GUGGAUUAGAUACCCGGGUAGUCCACGCCCUAAACGAUGAAUACUCGAUGUUAGCGAUAUACAGUUAGCGUCAAAGCGAAAGCGUUAAGUAUUCCACCUGGGGAGUACGCCCGCAAGGGUGAAACUCAAAGGAAUUGACGGGGGCCCGCACAAGCGGAGGAGCAUGUGGUUUAAUUCGAUGAUACGCGAGGAACCUUACCCGGGCUUGAAAGUUACUGAAUGAUUCAGAGAUGGAUCAGUCCGCAAGGACAGGAAACUAGGUGCUGCACGGCUGUCGCCAGCU
This 283-nucleotide ribosomal RNA is filed under the name uncultured bacterium. RNAcentral describes it as "partial 16S ribosomal RNA". It matches the Rfam family "Bacterial small subunit ribosomal RNA", at positions 773 to 1060 of the family's 1533-position model. The record is from RNAcentral.